Molecule: small nuclear RNA, 149 nt
Organism: Heterocephalus glaber (naked mole-rat)
Lineage: Eukaryota; Metazoa; Chordata; Mammalia; Rodentia; Bathyergidae
Gene: U2
Rfam family: U2 spliceosomal RNA
About the family: U2 is a small nuclear RNA (snRNA) component of the spliceosome (involved in pre-mRNA splicing). Complementary binding between U2 snRNA (in an area lying towards the 5' end but 3' to hairpin I) and the branchpoint sequence (BPS) of the intron results the bulging out of an unpaired adenosine, on the BPS, which initiates a nucleophilic attack at the intronic 5' splice site, thus starting the first of two transesterification reactions that mediate splicing.
Source: Ensembl
AUCACUUCUCAGCCUUUUGGCUAAGAUCAAGUGUAGUAUCUAACCCACAUGUCUUUCUUUUCCAUUUUACACCUGUAUAUUCAACUAUUUUCUGGAUAUCUCUACAAAGAAACUCAAACUCAACAUUUUUGGGCUGGGGAUUAGCUCAG